Molecule: ribosomal RNA, 941 nt
Filed under: uncultured bacterium
Lineage: Bacteria
Description: bacterial SSU rRNA
Rfam family: Bacterial small subunit ribosomal RNA
Source: RNAcentral
GUGCGCNUUAUGCAUGCAAGUUGAGCGAAGCUUUUCAGUAGUUUACUACAGAAAAUGACUGAGCGGCGAACGGGUGAGUAACGCGUGAGCAAUCUACCUUUAGUUACUGGGAUAGCCCGAGGAAACUCGGAUUAAUACCGGAUAUUCUUAUUUUUUCACAUGAAGUUUUAAGGAAAGGUCAGCCGAACUAAGAUGAGCUCGCGUUCUAUCAGCUAGUUGGUGGGGUAAAAGCCUACCCAAGGCUACGACGGAUAGCUGGUCUGAGAGGACGAUCAGCCACACUGGGACUGAGACACGGCCCAGACUCCUACGGGAGGCUGCAGCAGGGAAUAUUGCGCAAUGAGCGAAAGCUUGACGCAGCGACACCGCGUGUGGGAUGACGGUUCUAGGAUUGUAAACCACUUUCAGGAGGGAAGAAAAUGACGGUACCUCCACAAGAAGACCCGGCCAACUACGUGCCAGCAGCCGCGGUAAUACGUAGGGGUCAAGCGUUGUCCGGAUUUAUUGGGCGUAAAGAGCUCGUAGGCGGUUCAACAAGUCGGUCGUAAAAGUUUAGGGCUCAACCCUAAAAUGUCGAUCGAUACUGUUGUGACUAGGAUACGGUAGAGGUGAAUGGAAUUCCGAGUGUAGCGGUGAAAUGCGUAGAUAUUCGGAGGAACACCAAUUGCGAAGGCAGUUCACUGGACCGUGAUCGACGCUGAGGAGCGAAAGCUAGGGGAGCAAACAGGAUUAGAUACCCUGGUAGUCCUAGCUGUAAACGAUGGAUACUAGAUGUAGGAACUGGAUUGACGGUUUCUGUAUCGUAGCUAACGCGUUAAGUAUCCCGCCUGGGGAGUACGGUCGCAAGACUAAAACUCAAAGGAAUUGACGGGACCCCGCACAAGCGGCGGAGCAUGCGGCUUAAUUCGAUGAUACCCGUAGAACCUUACCUGGACUUGACA